GGACUACUGGGGUUUCUAAUCCUGUUUGAUCCCCACGCUUUCGCACAUCAGCGUCAGUUACAGACCAGAAAGUCGCCUUCGCCACUGGUGUUCCUCCAUAUCUCUGCGCAUUUCACCGCUACACAUGGAAUUCCACUUUCCUCUUCUGCACUCAAGUUUUCCAGUUUCCAAUGACCCUCCACGGUUGAGCCGUGGGCUUUCACAUCAGACUUAAAAAACCGCCUACGCGCGCUUUACGCCCAAUAAUUCCGGAUAACGCUUGCCACCUACGUAUUACCGCGGCUGCUGGCAC
Molecule: non-coding RNA, 292 nt
Filed under: uncultured bacterium
Lineage: Bacteria
Also listed under: 1 other name
Source: RNAcentral